This 73-nucleotide transfer RNA is filed under the name Mus musculus (house mouse). RNAcentral describes it as "tRNA-Lys". The record is from RNAcentral. Lineage: Eukaryota; Metazoa; Chordata; Mammalia; Rodentia; Muridae.
UCCCUUUUAACUCAGUCAGUAGAACAUGAGACUCUUAAUCUCAUGGUCAUUGGUUCGAGCCCCACAUUGGGUG